AUACGGAGGGUGCAAGCGUUACUCGGAAUCACUGGGCGUAAAGCGCGCGCAGGCGGCUUGAUAAGUUGGAUGUGAAAGCCUACGGCUCAACCGUAGAACUGCAUCCAAAACUGUCAAGCUAGAGUCUGGGAGGGGAAGAUGGAAUUAGUUGUGUAGGGGUAAAAUCCGUAGAGAUAACUAGGAAUACCAAAAGCGAAGGCGAUCUUCUGGAACAGUACUGACGCUGAGGCGCGAAAGCGUGGGGAGCAAACGGGAUUAGAUACCCCGGUAGUCC
Molecule: ribosomal RNA, 274 nt
Filed under: uncultured bacterium
Lineage: Bacteria
Description: partial 16S ribosomal RNA
Rfam family: Bacterial small subunit ribosomal RNA
Source: RNAcentral